Molecule: long non-coding RNA, 2262 nt
Organism: Zonotrichia leucophrys gambelii
Lineage: Eukaryota; Metazoa; Chordata; Aves; Passeriformes; Passerellidae
Exons: 4
Source: RefSeq, a predicted model, not a curated record
ACUUUAUUUGGCUCUUAGUGUGGUUAUUGGCACAAUGAGGAAGAGUGACAGCAUGUGAGAUGAAGACACAGCUGUAAAUUCUGCAGCUCCACAGCCCCCCAGGCUCCUGCAGUUAGCCAUUAGACCCCUUAGGGAAGGCAGAACAGAGAGAGCAUUCCUUGGAUGCAGGUUUGCUGCUGGAUUUUUGAGGAUUUCCGCCAGGAGCACUGUGGUGCUGGGUACAGAGUGCACAUGCUGCUCCCCAAGGGGAUGCCACAGGAGAUGCCCUCAGCUGAGCUCCAGCCCUAAGGACAACCAAAGGUCUUGUUUGUCCCUUCAACAGCCAGACUGGUGAUGGAAAGGCUCAUCUGUCUGAUCAGAGGUUGAGAAGGAUCUGACCUGACCUCAGAGGCAGCUGGAGUUGAGUGCAGACAAGGGAACUGCUGCCAAGGAGGGGCCAUCAAGGAAAUCCAGCACGGGAGAGGUUAGGGCAGGGUGGAGCUUUUAAAAACCCUCUAAUUGUGCUUCUGCAUUUAAACAUGUGGAAAGUGCUGCUCAGGACAGAGUAUUGCAAACAACACACAUUUUCCUUAAGGUUCACUGAUGUCAGUACAGCUAACAUAGGAUACAGCCUCUUCAUGGAAAUAAUAUUUCCUCUUCUAUGCCUGCUGCACUUGGCACACAAUGGAGUCUCAUUGCUCAACAGAGCCUCUACGUGCCAUGAAAAAUAAAUAAUUAAACUCCAGCCCUUUCAGCAGCAAAGAUUGGCUCUAUGAUAGCUGGUGUGGUGCAUGGCCUGGGAGCUCCACACAGAUCCUUGAGAAGGAUGAAAUGCUGUUUAGCUUCCACCAAAAGAGAGAAGAAAUGCACACCUGCCUCCCUGAGAGUCUCCAGCUGCACAGUUCUGCUGCACUGGUAAUUCCCAGCAAUUGGAAAGGGUAAGAGCAGAAUUUGGGGGCCAGUGGGGCCCACCAGUGUCUGAUCAGAGCUGAUCAGUUUUACUCUUGUGUCUAGAAUCAUCAGCUUCUUCUCAUGUGUAAUUUACUGUGUUUUCCCCUGAAAAUAUAUCUUCCCUCACUCUGGGGAAGUGGGAGGAAAUCUCUGGAUUUUCUCUUCAACAUAAGCUGUAGCUUCUACCCUGAGUACUUUUGGUGUUUGAGUAACAAUGAAAAAAGGACAACCCCUCAACUGGGAUGUAAUUUCUCAAUCCCUCCAUCAAAGGUUCCAAAGGACAGCUGAGGGAGGGACAGGGCAUGUCAAUCAGCCCAUGUGGCUCUGACUUGUGUAAAAAAUGCAGGCUUAAUCCCUGCUAAUGCCCUACAAGCACUGUCCACACAGGGUUAUACAAGCACCUGGAGCUGCUGCCGGGUGAGUGAAGCCUGUGGGUGCCCUGUGAGGCUGCAGGAGUGUGUCUCCAGCAGGGGUGGUCCCACAGCGUGGCAGCCUGUGUGUGCUUGGCACAGGGGGGCAGCGCUGGUGGCACUCCCCAGGUGCCCUGGCAGCACUCUCUGUGCCCGAGCUGUCCCUUACCUCUGCCAUGCAGGGCUCAGUGUGCUUUGGCAAGGACAGCUGCCACCUGCUCCUCUGCAGUGAGGACCUGGCUUCCAGAUUUUUAAACAUAAGGGAGGUGAAUCUAGAAAGCUCAUAGCAAAACAGUGAUGAAGGUUCAUGGCUACAGUGACCAGAGAUGUAGAGGAUGCAGAGAAAAGCAACUCUGCCUUAUUUAUGUCAGAAAGGUACCUACCAUAAGUUACAGCAUUCCUAAAGAUGCUGUGAUCUAUAGCAGCCUCCUAAGGCAAACCAGAAUCCCCUCUUCAAAAGCAAUAUAUCUAUUUAUUUAAAGAAGGGAAAAUAUUACAAAUCUGACAAUGUUCUUUCCUGCCAAGGAAAAAUCUGAAGCGUUAAAUGUGCAGAGUGACUUGGUGAAUCAAAGCUGGGCAGUGGCUUUAAGUGUGCCACGUGUUCCUUGCUGGAGCCCUGCUGCUGACAGCUGAUGGCAGCUUGCUACUGGCUCUGGACAGUGGAAAAAGCAGCCUCAAUGACAGCAAAGGAAGAAGAGUAAAACCCUCCCCUUCCUUACAACUGGAGUGAGGAAAUGGACCCUUAGUAUGGUGGGCUGUGACUGGAGCCCUGCUUUUGAAACGUGAUCCGUGUGUGCAAAUCCCACACAGACCAGACGCCAAAACCACAGUCAUUCUUUGACAUUUCUGUUGAGAAAGAGAACAAAUGUGCUCUGUACUCAUCUUUUGUUUUUUGAAAUAAAACCAAUUAAAUUAACUUUGA